AUGACAUUUAAUGGCCAAAUUGAUUAUCAAUUCAUUUUUAAUUGAAUUCCACUUUGAGAAGCCCACUAUAUAAAUAACUUGUAGGAAUUCUUUAUGAAGUUUUCGCAUAUCAGAUGCUUGAACGAGAAGUUAUUUUGAAUUUGAUAUCUAUCUUUUUGUCUAGAUAACCAUCAGACGUGAUCUUGGGAGAAUUUAUAAGAACUGUAUUAACGCCUUCUUCAAGUAUGAGAUAUAUUUGUAUAUCUAAAUCCACAACAGUUUGGUGCGCGAGGACUUCUUAUUAAUUCAAGUUUCCUUGUCUGACUCAAACACUUAAUUGCGGUCUUAUAAAUAGCUGGUUAUCUUGGCAUAUUUCUUCAUCGUUGAUCAACCAUUCUUCGUUUCUUGCACCUAAACUGAUUUGUAGGUACUGUAGAAAUUGGUGGUGGUGCUAUUCGGCCGGCGUCAGUUUCGAUCACAAAAGCUGCUCGCAUAUCGUCGUUUUUCUUCAUUCAAGCAACACUUUAUUAUUCUUUGAUUUUGAAUUUCUGAGACGUAAAGGGAAGCUUGAGACAAACCUUGGUUUUCUUUAAUUUCACUUCUUGGCAUUUGAGGUAAGCUACCCUUGAUUUUUUUUCGUAGGAAUUGGGGACUUUGCACGCGUCGAUCUUGGAUUUGGAGUUUUUUGCACCCAUCAAUCAAGGAGCUUUUGCUUGGCAUUUUUGGAGCUUUGCACCCAUCAAUCCCGGAGCUUUGCUUAGCAUCUUUGGAGCUUUGCAUCCAUCAAUCCAGGAGUUUUUGCUUGGCGCUUUUGGAGACUUUGCAUCCAUCAAUCAAGGAGUUUAACUUGCACUUUAGACGGCUCAAUUGGCUUUUAUUCAGAUUCUGGGUGCGCUCGGAUCUGGGCCAUUGCGAGUUCGACCUUUAAAGAUUGCUAGUUACAUCUUCUCCUUGCUUGCUUCUGCAACUUCAACUCUUCAUCGAUGCCAUUCAAUCAAGGAGUUUUGCUUGGAUACAAUUUUCUUCUUGGAAGCGUGGAUAUUUUGCUCUUUAAGGAUUUUUUGCUAACGUUUCUCGAGAGUCUUCUUCAUCUACUGAUCAGAGUUGUUUACCUUACGCUUUUAGGUGGCUCUCAAUUGGCUUUUAUUCAGAUUCUAGGUGCGCUCGGAUCUGGGCCAUUGUGAGUCUUGCCUUUAAAGAUUGCUAGAGUCUAGUUCAAGGAGUUGUUACUUUUGGUGAGCGUGUGCUUCUACUCCACUAUAAAGCUCGAAGCUCAGCGCAUACUUUGGAAGCAAGGCGAAACCCUCCACCUCGGCGUAUACUUUGGAAGCAAGGCGUAGCCCUCCACACCGACAUAUACUUGAGAAGCAAGACGAAGGUUUGCAUUAACAUUAUAAAGUCCAAAGUUUAAGUCAGAUCCAACAUUCGAACAAAGUGAAGACCCUUCACGUCAACGUCAUGAAACUCAAAGAUCGAGUCCAAGAAUCAACUUGAAUAUUGGAGAGAGCCAUUUCAAAGUGUGUUGAAAAUAUGUGGAGACGCGGAAUUUAAAUUUGAUGAAGAAUGCUUUGAAGGUUUGGGCUCGUUUUAUUGAAGUUUUGUCAACUAUUGACUCUCUUAUUGUUUUGUUUUUUCACUCAUCUUCUUUCAUUGUUUCUUUUGGACUAAUGCACCAUUUGACUUCAAUCA
Molecule: long non-coding RNA, 1668 nt
Organism: Salvia miltiorrhiza (redroot sage)
Lineage: Eukaryota; Viridiplantae; Streptophyta; Magnoliopsida; Lamiales; Lamiaceae
Exons: 2
Source: RefSeq, a predicted model, not a curated record